AAGGAAUUUUUCAAGGAUCAGUCAAAUGAUAGGAUUUGAGAAGGAACGCCAAGGGCGAAGGCAUUUAUUAGAGUAAACAAAAGCUUAAACACGGAAGCCCGAGUAUCGAACCGGAUUAGAGACCCGCAGUAGUUCGGGCCGUCAAUUGCCUCAUAAAAGAGAGGUCAUCUGAUGACACGGCGGCAACGCUUUAAGUCAAAGUAAUAGGCGGAGUGCAAUACAUGCGAUGGAGCAUGCGGUUUAAUGCGACAAUCCUCGCAAAACCUUACCACU
Molecule: ribosomal RNA, 273 nt
Filed under: uncultured Symbiodinium
Lineage: Eukaryota; Dinophyceae; Suessiales; Symbiodiniaceae
Description: partial Bacterial small subunit ribosomal RNA
Rfam family: Bacterial small subunit ribosomal RNA
Source: RNAcentral